GACGAACGCUGGCGGCGUGCUUAACACAUGCAAGUCGAACGGCAAGGCCCUGCUAUUGUGGGGUGCUCGAGUGCCGAACGGGUGAGUAACACGUGUGUAACCUGCUCUUGACUUUGGGAUAACUUCAGGAAACUGGGGCUAAUAUCGGAUAGGAGCUCCUGCUGCAUGGAGGGGGGUGGAAAGUCUCGGCGGUUGGGGAUGGACGAGCGGCUUAUCAGCUUGCUGGUGGGGUAGUGGCUUACCAAGGCUUUGACGGGUAGCCGGCCUGAGAGGGUGACCGGCCACAUUGGGACUGAGAUACGGCCCAGACUCCUACGGGAGGCAGCAGUGGGGAAUAUUGCACAAUGGGCGGAAGCCUGAUGCAGCAACGCCGCGUGCGGGAUGACGGCCUUCGGGUUGUAAACCGCUUUCGCCUGUGACGAAGCGGGAGUGACGGUAAUGGGUAAAGAAGCACCGGCUAACUACGUG
This 468-nucleotide ribosomal RNA is filed under the name uncultured bacterium. Its description in RNAcentral is "partial 16S ribosomal RNA". It matches the Rfam family "Bacterial small subunit ribosomal RNA", at positions 28 to 507 of the family's 1533-position model. The record is from RNAcentral.